UACUUUGCCGGCGAGCGGCGGACGGGUGAGUAAUGUCUGGGAAACUGCCUGAUGGAGGGGGAUAACUACUGGAAACGGUAGCUAAUACCGCAUGACCUCGUAAGAGCAAAGUGGGGGACCUUCGGGCCUCACGCCAUCGGAUGUGCCCAGAUGGGAUUAGCUAGUAGGUGAGGUAAUGGCUCACCUAGGCGACGAUCCCUAGCUGGUCUGAGAGGAUGACCAGCCACACUGGAACUGAGACACGGUCCAGACUCCCACGGGAGGCAGCAGUGGGGAAUAUUGCACAAUGGGCGCAAGCCUGAUGCAGCCAUGCCGCGUGUGUGAAGAAGGCCUUAGGGUUGUAAAGCACUUUCAGCGAGGAGGAAGGGUUCAGUGUUAAUAGCACUGUGCAUUGACGUUACUCGCAGAAGAAGCACCGGCUAACUCCGUGCCAGCAGCCGCGGUAAUACGGAGGGUGCAAGCGUUAAUCGGAAUUACUGGGCGUAAAGCGCACGCAGGCGGUUUGUUAAGUCAGAUGUGAAAUCCCCGAGCUUAACUUGGGAACUGCAUUUGAAACUGGCAAGCUAGAGUCUUGUAGAGGGGGGUAGAAUUCCAGGUGUAGCGGUGAAAUGCGUAGAGAUCUGGAGGAAUACCGGUGGCGAAGGCGGCCC
Molecule: ribosomal RNA, 650 nt
Filed under: uncultured Rahnella sp.
Lineage: Bacteria; Pseudomonadati; Pseudomonadota; Gammaproteobacteria; Enterobacterales; Yersiniaceae
Description: bacterial SSU rRNA
Rfam family: Bacterial small subunit ribosomal RNA
Source: RNAcentral